This 7431-nucleotide long non-coding RNA is filed under the name Nicotiana benthamiana. RNAcentral describes it as "long non-coding RNA (NBEN_LNC041712)". Lineage: Eukaryota; Viridiplantae; Streptophyta; Magnoliopsida; Solanales; Solanaceae. The record is from RNAcentral.
AUAGUUCAAUCAGUCCAUUACAAAUUGAUAAUCCAACAGUCCGCUACAAAUAAGCUAAGGUAACAAGUUUAUCCAAAAUAAAAUUCUAAACUAAUUGCAGUAGAAUGAACUAAUGAAACACAGUAAAAUUUCAGCAAGUAUCAGGUAGCAAUUUUGUUUACAUUUCCCUUGGAGAAAUUACAGUGGAUCAAACUCAGAGUGUGUAAAUCAAAACUACCAAAUUAAAACUAGUAAACUAAUACAUUGAAGAUGGAAACCAUUACUAAUAUUUUUUCUGAAUUUCUUUUAAACAAAUGUACGAAAAAGCUAACAGGAUACUACCUACAGUCAAUGUGAACUGUGCUACUAACCUAACAGAAUAUCAGAAGCUCAUACGAAUCUGAGAAUUAUCAGUUUAUACAAUCCAUUACAAAUAAACUAAAGUGACAAAUUCAUCAAAUAAAUUAUAGAACUAACUACAGUUUAAUGAACUAGUAAAGCAGUAAAAGACAACAAGUAGCAAUCAGCUGCUGCAUUUCUAUUUCAUUGGAGCAACUACAUCAUAUGGAAUCCAGAAGGUGUACCUGGGAAUCGAAUUAUAUCAGAAGAAGAGGAGAUCAGCAGCAAGUAGUAACAGCUAGUAUCUAACAGUCACAUAAAGCAACAAUAAGGAUAGUUUUGAAUCAAAAUCACUUCACAACAACCUAGGAAACUUCAACAGAAACACAGCACCAGCAGACGACCAAAGUAAAUUGAUUGAACCCCAAAAACUAUUCGAAAUCAAACAGAAACACCUCUGAACCUUCCAAUUACCAGAACUGAACUAAAAAAUGUAAACCAAUAGCUAAAAGUUGAAAUUCAUCUUCAGUUUUAAUGAAACAAUAACUUUAUUUUGGGUUUUCUGUUGUUUUUUGUUAGUUUUGGUGUUUUGAGGAGCUAGAUCUCAAUUAGAAUUUGAAAAUCAAAUCUGAAACUUAGAAUAGCGGAAAGGGGUUUUUGGGGGAAAAUUUGGAGGCUGAAAAAAAAUCUUUCCUAAGGCAUGGGAAUGCCAUUUUAUAUGCACAAUGAGGGUGAGCAUCAGAUUUUUAUUUUUCCUUUUGGUCCCCCUCUUAUUUUCACAACAGUCCUCAAGUUAUUAACUUGAUACUCGAAUAAACCUAUUAACUUCCUGAAAUUAGAACUAAAUACCUAUUCUAGAAUAUUUUAAGGUGUUCCUUUUCAAUUACUAAAACAUUCUAUUCAUUCCUAAGUAACCAAAUACCCCUAUGGUUACACUAAAUUUGCAUCUUAACCAAACAACUAAACAAAUGUAAUCUUAAUUUACCACUUAUCCAAUUAUCUAUUAAACUCAGUAUUAAAGAUCGGAAUUAAAAGAUCAAUCAUUAAGCUCUACUAAACUUAACUAAUAACAGAUGAGAAAAUCAAAGAAUAGGGAAUGACUAACAUAAUUAACUACAACAAAAUAAUCACCAAAAAACCACAAAAAGCAAAAAUUAAACUGAGAUAAAGCCUAACAUGUAAAGGCAUCGACUAAUCAAGACGAACAUAUUAAUCCCAAAAAGAAGAAAACCUAUUGAAUUAAGAUGAAAAACUAGGCUUAAAGUACUUGAACACUCAACAGAACUUAAAACUAAAUAUUGAAACAAGAACAAAAAACAAGAAGAGAAAACUUACUGGCCAACCCUAAGAUUCAAAAUUCGCCCGAUUCCAGUUGGAUUUGAAUGCUACUGAUCGUGAAUUCUUCAUGAGGGAAUCUCAAGGGCCAUGUAGUAUCAAUUUGGGGUUAUUUGGUGCAACUAGGGUUUUGGCCUGAAAAACUCAAAUUGAAUUUCGAACAGUUCUGGCAAAAUUCGAGGGUCAGGGGCUUGGGGGUUUGAUAGAGGAGGUUGUGGUGGUACUAUGGUGUAAGUUUGGUGGUGUUUGGUCUACUUUGAGUCAUGACCAGAAAAGUUUCAAUCCAAUAUUUUACGGGAUAGGGUGUGAUUCGAAGGUAACAGAAGGUGGAUUUGGGAAGAGGAGGAGAAGGAGAACCAGGAGUGUAAUUUUUAUGGUGUCUGGAGAGGGGCCGCCGCCGUGAGCGACUUCCGGCGGUGGCGUUAAACAGGCCUGUGAAUGGGGUAAUUUGGGACGACGAUUGGGGGGAGAGGGAGUUAUCCGACAUAUUUUUAUCAAAGUAACCCAUAGUUAUGGAUCGUCCGAUCAUAAGAACCUAGACGGUCCAGAUUGGGUGAUGCUUAAACGGGGUCGUUUCAAUGGGCAUGGGGAUUGGUUUGGGUGAUGGGUUGUUUGGCCGGACCGGGUGGGUUAAGGGUCUUUGGGCUAGUUUAAUCUAAACGUAGCCCAGGUCAGGUCAUCCUCAUUUUGGUCUUUUUUUUGUUUUGUUUUUUCCCUUUUUGUUUUGUUUUAUUUGUAUUUUAUACUCUCUCUUUUCUGAUUUUAUAAAAAUGGAAAAAAUUAAAACAAGUACCUAAUAUAUUUUUAAUAAUAAUCUAAUUAAUUCCUAAAAUUAUUUAAAUCUAUUUCACGACAAACUCAAUAAUUAACCAUUAAAAAUGCAAAAGUGGACUAUUUUUGUUAUUUUCUUUGUUUUCAAGCAAUUUUAACUGCUACUUAAUCCUAAAAUGUGAAAUUAAAUCUCAAACAAAUGCCAAAUAUGUUUUUAUAUUUUUUAUACGAAUUAAGAUGCACAGAUAAAAUGCAACGAUUACUAGAAAAUAACACAAAAAUCCACAAAAGUAUAAAAUAAUAAAGAAAUUAUUUCAUUUGAAUUUUUUGGGAAUAAUUCACUUAGGGAAAAAAUCACGUGCUCACAACUGCACCUGUUUUCCCAAAAACACGAAGAGUUUUCGUACAAAGAUAAGUGAGCAGAACGAGCGAUUUUUGCUCGUUCGAAUAUAUCGUCUGAACCAUUCUUGAAAAGUUUGAUCGCACCAUACUUCGGAGGUUGCCUACAUAUCAUUGAUUAAAAAAGGAAUCAUGUCAGUGUAGUUCGGGAAUAUCUGGUAGCUGGGACUACCAGGAGCUAUGAUUUUACUACGAUUGCUGGAGCUACUGCUUGCUGACCUCCCUUAUUAUACCAUGUCAAAAAUAAAUGAAACUAAGCUAAGCUAUGAUCUAUGAAUUACAAAAGUCCUAUAUAAAUUCUUCAAACUUGCUUUGUACUUCAUGUUGCCUUGUUGUCUUGUGUUUUCUUGUUGCCUUGUUGUCUUGUGUUCUCUUGGUGAAAUCCAUUGUUAUCACUUCGAAUUGUAAAUUGAGAUGUUGUCCCUUUUCUUCAAACUGCUGAACUUGAAUGUAUUUCCGACGUUGUCCAGGCGGGCUUCUGACUUGUAAACUUGAACUUGAAUGUAUUCCUCUAUUCUCCAAGCAGGCUUCUGACUUCACAAAAAUAGACAAAAUAAAGAAACUUUCUGCCUCAGUUUGGAAACUGGGUACAUGUUACUGGAUGAGAUUUAAAAACUAAAACUUGAAUUGUAAUACCUCUGUUCGCCAGGGGGGCUCCUGACUUCAAAACGUGAAUGUAUUUCUCUGUUCUCCAGGCGGGCUCCUGACUACAAACUUGAAAUAUAUUCCUCUGUUAUUCAUGCGGGCUCCUAACUUCACAAAAUAGAAAAAGCAAAGAAACUUUCUGCCCCAGUUUGGAAACUGGGUAUAUGUUAGCGGAUAUUUAUAAGAAUUUGUAAACUAAAACUUGAAUUGUAAUACCUCUGUUCUCCGGGCGGGUUCCUGACUUCAAAGAUUGAAAAAUGUAUUCCUCUGUUCUUCAGGCGGGCUCCUGACUUCAAACUUGAAAUGUAUUCCUCUGUUAUCUAGGCGGGCACUUGACUUCACAAAAUAAACAAAACAAAAAAACUUUCUGCCCCAGUUUGGAAAACUGGGUACAUGUUAUUGGAUAUUUACAAGAAUUAAAACUAAAACUUGAAUUGUAAUACCUCUGUUCUCUAGGCGGGCUCCUGACUUCAAGACUCGAAAAAUGUGUUCCUCUAUUCUCUAGGCGGGCUCCUAACUUCAAAUUUUGAAUGUGUUCCUCUGUUAUCCAGGCGGGCUCCUGACUUCAACAAAAUAGACAAAACAAAGAAAAAAUUUUGCCCCGGUUUGGAAACUGAGUACAUGUUACCAGAUAUUAACAAAAAUUGAAAACAUAAUGCUUGAAUUAUAACACCUCUAUUCUCCAGGCGGGCUCCUUACAUCAAAACUUGAAAAAUACAUUCCUCUGUUGUACAGGCGGUCUCCUGACAUCAAAACUUGAAAAAUGUAUUCCUUUGUUCUCCAGGAGGGCUCCUGACUUCAAAAUAGACAAAGAAAUCAAUUUGAAAAUUAAAAUUUGAAUUGUAAUACCUCUGUUUUCCAGGAGGGCUCCUGAUUGCUGAAAAUUGAAUUGCAUUUGUUCUCCAGGAGGGUUCCCGACUGCUGAACUUGAAAUUAAAUUUAUCCCUCUGUUCUCCAGGCGAGCUCCUGACUUCAAAAUAGACAAAUAAAGAAAUAUUUCUGCCCAGUUUGGAAGUUGGGUGCAUGGGUGAGUGUUAACUGAAUCAUUAUUACUAACUAUUACUAAGAGUUUGAAAGCUAAGUCCUAUUAUCUAUGGAGGUCCUGACAACCCCUAACAAUUACGAACCUAAGUUGUAUCUUCUAAAGGUAUUACUGUCACUACAUUAUGCUAUCCACAAAAGUUUUUUGAACAACAUCCUAUUAUUCAGGAAGGUCCGGAAAACUCUUACUUGAAUUCUAUCCUAAACAUGGAAACUUUGGAACCCACUUAUAUUUCCCCAUGCUAUUCAUCAUGAUUAUCCUGUAUUUUAAUCAAACCACCCCUUUGUGAUCAAACCUGAUUACUGUUUGUUUUUUCCCUUAUGGGGAGUUUCUCCAGAACGACCGAAUUUUUCUGCCCCUGUUUCAGUCAAAGAAAAUUUCAUCAAUUUAAAAUGGUGGUUGGUUUGUAGACUUGAACUUUCUGGCAAUUUCUUCUGCCCUUGCCACGAUGACUGAUUUCCACUCGAAGACCUUGCCCAUUUAUGAACCAACCCCUUUUCUGUUUAGACUCAACAUCCUCUAUUUAUUGAUGUGGCAUCUUCCCAACCUUUGUAUUUCACAUGAAUCCCAAAACAUGUCUGUUGCCCCCAUAGUAUGUUGUUGUUCCUUAAAUCACAACCCCUUGACCUUGAGGUCUAUUGCUCCUUCUCUUGUCAUGAUAACUUUGAUUUCACCUUUAAAAGGCAUUGCUUUCUUAUUGACGAACCACUUUCUUCGUCAUCCUUGUCAUAGGAAAUACCUCUUCUCCGUUCAAACUCAAUACCCUCUAUAUAUUUGCAUUUCUCAUGACCUAACAUCUACAAAACCUUUGUGUUUCACUGGGAUCCCCAAAGCAUGUUGAUUAUUACCAGCUCAGUGCUCUUGUUGUUGUUCUUGACUUGUGACACUUUGAUAUGCUAGCCAGACUCCAUUUUGUGCAAUUGAAAAGCUAGUGGCAAAUUUUGAAGUUAUUUCUCUCUUGUUAUAACCAAAUAGACUCAGAAAGGUAAAGUGGACAAAACAGAGGAACGGAGUGAAGGACAAAAGAAAAAAAUGAUUCCUAAAGAGAAAACUACGAAGUGGAAACCUAUCAGAUGUGGAUACCAACUGUAAUGACCAUGACAUGCACCUGUAGAUAUUCCGCCAAUCAAACCUGAUGUUUAGUUAUUGUUGUAACUUUUCGUUGUGAAACUGGGCUUCAAUGCUCCGCUUAUCCAAUUUGAUACGCAUUCCUUAUUUGAUUUGGUGCCCGAAGGGUUUUCACCAUCAAGACUCACUCAUUUUGUUCUUUCUCUCAAAUUACCGUCGCCUCAAGGUGCCCAUGAGGAUUUUCACCAAUAAGACUUUCUCAUUUUUAUUUUUCUCACCUUUCAUCGCCUUACGGUGUCCAUGGGGGUUUUCACUAAUAAGACUCUCUCAUUUUCUAUUUUCCUUGUUUCGACCGAAGUGCUUCCCCUGAUAUGAUUCACCUCUACUUGCUCGCCUUGGCAUUUUUCAAAGACUGAUCGAAACGUCUUUCUUUGGAUCUUAAUGUGGCUUUUGGACAGGGUUGGAAAAGAAUGGUACAAAAGGCUCAAAAACAAUUUCAAAAUGGGUUAAAAUUACAACAUUUAAAAUCCAAUUUCUCAAAACAACCACAACUUCUGCCUCAGUUUCUUGCUUGAGGAUUUUUGGAUUUUUAUUUUGGCAUGACUGAACCUCAGAGGAACGCUGCCUACGUACCCUUUCGGGAUCAAGUCAAACGUAGUUCACGUCAUAGAAACUAUGUUGUUGUGUUUUUUUCUUUUCUUUUUCUGUUCUUCUCUUUUUUCAUUUUUCUUUCCUUUCCUUUUUCUUUACUUUUUCUUUUCUUUUUCCUUUCUUUUCUUUUCUUAUUUCUUUUUCUAUUUUUCCUUUUAUUUUCUUCUUCUUCUUCUUUUUCCUCUUUUUCCUUUCUUUUUCUCAUUUGCUUAUCUUCGGCACUCGAAUUUCUUAAUUGUAUUGUUGAUUCCGAAAGAGGGGUAUGAAAGAAGAUAAAUAAAGCUCAAAAAGGAUGACAAGGGGUAAAAGUGUUUGGAUAGCAGAACAAAAUGCCUUCGUCAUUUCAAUCGUCAAAAUAUGCCAAAUAUAAAUAAGUACGAUCAAAAUAAAGCAAUCAUACAUAGUAUCUCUUGAUUGCAUGGGAAUUGAUGGCCAUUUCUACACAUUUUCCUUCAACAUCUGUUAGAUAUAAUGCACAAUCGGACAACACUCUCACUUUCAUUACCAUGAGCGGCCCCAGUUGAUUUGGCCAACCUGCCUUUAGGGUUUCUUUAUGUUUUAUCUGCCCCAGCUUCACAUGGUUCGGGCUUCAAACAAUCUUAAAAUGUUCAAAUAUGCUCUUAUUUCCCUCAAGUGGCCCCAUCGUCUUCACAAUGGUUUCAUUGCUUCCCGACUAACAUAGCUUUUAAAGAUUAGACUGAGAAUUAUGCGUGCGUAUCACCUCACUAGAACUAGCAUUUGACAAAGGACAAAACAAAAGGAUAGAAAAGAACUAAACAAAGAAAUUUCCUAGAAGUAGCAAAAAACCGAAACUUGCAUUAGACAAAUAGUGAAAUGGUCAGAUUAACAAGACAAGCAAAACAAACUGGGGUACAACCCUAGAAUGAAACGUAAACAAAUAUGGACAACACUAAACAAACCACUACAGCUAAACAAAAAUGAAAGCAUAAGAGGGUUUGAGUCACAAGACACAUCCAGAUUACAACCUGCAAAUAACUCGGACAACAAAAAUGACAACAAAAUGAACCACCAAAGCUCCUCUCCAGCUGACCUACAAAUGAAGCAUCCUUCCAAUUACCAAGCAUGAUAUCUUAGCCAAUAAAUUUCACAUCAAUAUUGCCAAAGCCAUUAUCAACUUUAAUCAACAAGUUCCCAAGAGGAUUCACAUGCUCCAUAUCACUAUCAUUGAACACAAUUACCCC